Molecule: ribosomal RNA, 427 nt
Filed under: uncultured bacterium
Lineage: Bacteria
Description: bacterial SSU rRNA
Rfam family: Bacterial small subunit ribosomal RNA
Source: RNAcentral
UGGGGAAUUUUGGACAAUGGGCGCAAGCCUGAUCCAGCCAUGCCGCGUGCGGGAAGAAGGCCUUCGGGUUGUAAACCGCUUUUGUCAGGGAAGAAACGAGUUUCUCUAAUACAGAGACUUAAUGACGGUACCUGAAGAAUAAGCACCGGCUAACUACGUGCCAGCAGCCGCGGUAAUACGUAGGGUGCAAGCGUUAAUCGGAAUUACUGGGCGUAAAGCGCACGUAGGCUGUAGUGUAAGUCAGGGGUGAAAUCCCACGGCUCAACCGUGGAACUGCCUUUGAUACUGCACAACUUGAAUCCGGGAGAGGGUGGCGGAAUUCCAGGUGUAGCAGUGAAAUGCGUAGAUAUGCGGAGGAACACCGAUGGCGAAGGCAAUCCCCUGGACCUGUACUGACGCUCAUGCACGAAAGCGUGGGGAGCAAACA